CCACACGCAACAAUAGCUCAUGGGUACCACAGAUAACUUUGCCAAAGUUCUCUGCCAAAGUUGAGCACGUGAAGCUUGCAGCUCCCACUACAUCGCUCUGCUCUGACCAAGAAAGGUAAAAGAAUAGCAAAGAAACAGCACUAACAAAGUUUAGACACAUAAAUGUUGAAGGUCUAGCUACCAUAUUAUUACCCACAAGGGUAAAGGAACAGUACCACUGCUGGAUAAUUGGAAAGUCCUUGUGUGUCAACCUCUGUGCUUCGUGGCAAGGUAGACUAGCAAACAUGCCCAACCUUUACUCACUUUCGAGAAAACACUCCCAACAAGAUUGCUUGCUCCAAAAUCGAAGAGGCACCGUCCUCCGAAUCUCGAGAGCCAGACUCCCAACAUGACUACUUUCUCAAAAGCGAAGAGAGGGUAAAGGAACAGUACCAUUGCAACUGGCAGCUCCCACUACCGUGCUAUGACCAAGCAGGGUAAAGGAAUAGCAUUACUACUUGUUGUUAGGGAGACUCCUAUAUAUGUCGACCUCCAUCCCCAACGGACAGGCAGACCUGCAAAAAUGCUCAACCCUUCAUCAUAUCUGAGAGGGCACUCCCAACGAAGCCUUUCGAAAUAUUCAGCUUUCUUUCCCCCCGAUAAUACCUCUGCAAACAAGCUAUACUAGAGCAAGAAUAUCUCAUAUCAUCAGGGUUAAAAGCAAGAGUAUCUCAUAUCAUGCUUUUUCCCUGUCUUUUCCUUUGGCCUUGUUUUUACCUGCAAGACAAGGAGAAAGAGAGCAAUCAGUCAGCACUUGGAAUCAAGCUUCCAGCCAGGAACUGACUGCCUGGAACCCCUUACCUGAUUACUUACCUGGCAUUGCUCUCGAGUACUCAUCUUCAACAUCUUAUGUUUCCAGGGAAGAUUCUGCAUCUGCUUGAGGAACAGAUAGGGCAAGUGCGAAGGAUACAAGGAAGCAUGUGGAGACAAGCGUAACAGCACACGUGCCGAUACACCCAUUACUCUGUCAAAAGCAAAAGUAUCCCAUAUCAGUAGGGUGGAACGUACUCUAGAUUUGAUGGACUUGUUUUGACCCUCAAAUCAAAUUCUUCAGUCGGCCUUAUACUCUGGAGGAAACCAGAAAACCCUCCAGCUCAGUUCAAGAAUAAGCCUGUGGAAAGUUACUUCUUCAAAAGCAAAAGUAUCUCAUAUCAUCUCUUCUCAUUUUUCUUCUCUCUUUAUCCUUCAUGCUGCUGCAAGAUGGGGAGAAGGUGAACAAUCAGUCGGAGUCGGAGCUCUGAUUGCUUACCUUGUCUGUCACCUCUUUCAGCAGACCCCCUAGCUCGGCGACUUGGGGGACUCCUACUACAUGGUUUGUAUCGCGCUUGACCAAGCCUGAGACUACAAGUAAGCUUCAAGUGAAAUUGAUACAUUACCUUGUGCAUCUCCACCAGUUAAAGAUACCACCCCCUGGAUGGAGGAAGAGUACUUUCAGAGAAGAUGCCACAUCUACCUAUGAGACAGAUAAGGCAAGUCAAGACGACACCACACUCCGAUACUUAGAAGUUUCGUGAUUACGAGAUCAUUCUCCCACAAUAUUUCCUAAUGUCAUUUGUACAAAAUCAUUCACUUGUACUCACUAAAGGAGAGCUUGAACCUAUGUACUUGUGUAAACCCUUCACAAUUAAUGAGAACUCUUCUAUUCUGUAGACGUAGCCAAUCUGGGUGAACCACGUACAUCUUGUGUUUGCUUUUCCUAUCUCUAUCCAUUUAUAUACUUAUCCACACUAAUGACCGGAGCAAUCUAGCGAAGAUCACAAAAAAGCGACCGUUUUCGCUACCUAGGAUCUAUCUUGCAAGAGAACGGAGAAUUAGAUGGAGAUCUCAACCAUAGAAUACGAGCUGGAUGGAUGAAGUGUAAGAGUGCAUCCGGCGUGUUGUGUGACCGUCGUAGGCCACUGAAGCUCAAGGGAAAAUUUUAUAGGACGGCAAUAAGGCCAGCGAUGUUGUAUGGCACAGAAUGUUGGGCGGUGAAGCAUCACAACACGUACACAAAAUGGGUGUAGCGGAGAUGAGGAUGCUUCAUGGGAUGUGUGGGCACACGAGAAAGGAUAAGAUUGGGAAUGAGGAUAUCCGAGGUAAAGUAGGAGUAGCCGAAAUUGUAGGAAAGAUGAGAGAAAAUCGGCUCCGAUGAUUUGGACAUGUGCAAAGAAGGCCGACUGACGCUCCGGUUCGAAGAUGUGACUACGGGACAGAGGUUCAGGGCCAAAGGGGUAGAGGAAGACCUAGGAAAACUUUGGAAGAGACUCUAAGAAAAGACUUAGAGUACUUGGAUCUAACGGAGGACAUGACACAAAACCGAGCGCAAUGGCGUUCUAGGAUUCAUAUAGCCGACCCCACUUAGUGGGAAAAGGCUUUGUUGUUGUUGUUGUUGUUGUUGUACGUGGACCCUGACUCAUUUUCUGAGCACCCAGGAAUUCUCCUUGUUUGCUUCUCCCCCUGGGGUCUGGGGAAAGGAACCUUCAAAACAGCCAUAGGGAGGCCAUUGAGCCAGCCUCGUCCUGUGUGCCUGGAUUCGCCUCGUUCUGCAUGUGAGCUGUUCACAUCGUUUUGCAUGCCAAAAGCUCACCAUUUUUGCGUCCACAGAGCCCGUGUUGUUUUAGCGUGCACCGAACCAACCUCGUUUUCUGUGCGCAAGGUUAGCCUCGAUUUGUGCGACGUAUCCCUCCUCAUUUUUUGUGCACAAGGCUUGCCUUGUUUUGCAUGCUAGAAGCCUACAUCGUUUUGCAUGCCAUGGUUGGCCUCGUUUUGCGUGAGUGGCAUCUUCCUUGUUUUGAGUGCGUCGAGCCCGCCGAUCACCCAUGUUUUUUUUUGACAAAAAUAUAAAAUUUUCAUUUUCACUAAAUAUUUUUCUUGAGCAUUAAGUUAAACUUUUGAAGGAAUUUGGAAGCAAUUUUACGGUUUAUUGAGCAAUGAAUUUAUAUUUAGUAGAAUAUUUAAGCCGAAAACAAAAAAAAUAAGUGAAAAAUAUAGUGGUGAGGACCAGAACAUUGUCAAAUGGGGCUCUACAAUCAAGAAUCUCAACGGAAAGUCUUCUCUUAAUUUCAAAACUCAACAGUCAAGCGAAGGUUAAAAAAAAUUGAUUGAACAAUGAUUAAUGUAUGAAUUUGCAAAACCGAUUGAAAACCGUGAGUGUUAAUCCACGUUUUUUUGUGAAAAAUGCAAAUUUUUUAUUUUCUUGAAAUAUUUCCCGUGCACAUUAAGGAAAUCUUUAUAAUAUAUUUGGAAGCAAAUUUACGACUUAUAGAGCAAUAACUAUAUAUUUAGUUGAAUAUUUAAGCUGAAAAGUAAAAAUAAAAAAAAUUGAAAACUAUAGAGAUGCCAAAAUGUAUAGUUAGUGUAUAUUUUUUAAAUUAGAGAUGUUAAAAUCACUUGUAGUUGAGGCUUAAAUAAAAAAUAGCAAAAUUUUGUUUUGUUAAAUAGUCUUUCACCUUCUUUUGGCUGACAAAAAAAGUUAUAUUAAUAUGUAGUUUAGGUUUAGAUAAAAUAAAAACAAAAAAAAGUCGUUGAUUACAAGUGUUGAAAUAUGAAUUAUAAUGAAUUUUUCCCGGAAAAAUAAUCAUUUUUGAACAUGAAUAUGAUAGUUUGUUGUAGUGGUAAGAGAAAUAUAAGAAAAUUAACAAAAAUGUGGAAAAAAAGAUUUAAAUUCUUGCACCCUCAAGAAUUUCACUCAUUUUUGCACAUUUUUUUGUUAAUGUUUCCUUUUAUUUCUCUUGCCACUACAACAAACUACUACUCAUGUUCUUCAAAAUUUAAUUUUCCAUUCGUGGACCCCGACUCAUUUUCUAAGCACCCGGGAAUUCGCCUCACUCUGUGUCUGCGAAGUCGGCUUUGUCCUGUGUGCUUUGGUUCACCUCGUUCUGCAUGUGAGGUGCCUUCAUCAUUUUGCAUGCCAAAAGCCCACCGUUUUUGCAUCCACGGAGCCCGCGUCGUUUUGGCGUGCAAGGAACCAGCCUCAUUUUUCUUGCGCAGGGCUAGCCUCGAUUUGUGCGACGUAACCCUCCUCAUUUCUUGUGCAUGGAGCUCGUCUUGUUUUACGUGCCAAAAGCCCUCAGUUUUUUGCAAAAGAAGUCCACAUCGUUUUGUGUGCCAUGGUUGGCCUAGUUAUGCGUGAGCAGUAUUCGUCUCGUUUUGCAUGUGUCAAGCCCGCCGAGCACCCAUGUUUUUUGACAAAAAUGCAAAUUUUUUAUUUUCACGAAAUAUUUCUUCAGAGCAUUAAGUUAAACUUUUGAAAGAAUUUGGAAGCAAUUUUACGGUUUAUUGAGCAACGAAUGUAUAUUUAGUAGAAUAUUUAAACCGAAAACUAAAAAAAUAAGUGAAAAAUAUAGUGGUGAGGUGAGGCCCAGAACAUUGUCAAAUGGGGCUCUACAAUCAAGAAUCUCAACUGAAAGUUUUCUCUUAAUUUUCAAAACUCAACAGUCGGGCGAAGUUGAAAAUAAAUUAAUUGAACGGUAAUUAAUGCACGAAUUUGCAAAACCGACCGAAAAUAGUGAGUGUUAAAUCCACGUCUUUUUUCUAAAAAAUGCAAAUCUUUUAUUUUCUCUAAAUAUUUUUGGUGAGCAUUAAGGAAAUCUUUAUAAUGUUUUUGGAAGUGUAUUUACGAUUUAUAGAGCAACAAGUAUAUAUUUAGUUGAAUAUUUAAGCUGAAAAGUAAAAAACAUAAUAAUAAUUGAAAACUAUAGAAAUGCGAAAAUGUAUAUUUAGUGUAUAUUUUUUAAAUUAGAGAUGUUAAAAUCACCUGUAGUUGAGGCUUAAACAAAAAAUAGCAAAAUUUUGUUUUGUUAAGUAGUCUUUCACUCUCUUUUGGUUGACAAAAAAAGUUCUAUUAAUAUGUAGUUUUGGUUUAGAUAAAAAGAAAAAUUAAUAGAAAAAGGUACAAAUAUCUUUAAACUUAGGUUUUAAGUCAUUGGUUACAAGUGUUGAAAUACGAAUUAUAAUAGAUUUUUCACGGAAAAAUAGAAGAACAUGAAUAUAAUAGUUUGUUGUAGUGGUAAGAGAAACAAAAGAAAAUUAAUAAAAAUGUGCAAAAAUGAUUUAAAUUCUAGGGGGUGCUAGAAAGUUAGGCUGGCCUCGAUUUGUGUGACGUAUCCCUCUUUGUUUUUCGUGCGCAAAGCUGACCAUGAUUUUCGCACAAUAUUUUCUGUGAGCAUUAAAGAAACAUUUACAAGGCAUUUGGAUGCAGUUUUAUGAUUUAUAGAGCAGCAAAUGUAUGUUUAGUAGUAUAUUUAAGCCGAAAAGUAAAAACAUAAAUGAGUGAGUUCCAAAAUAUUGUUAAAAUUGGGUUCAACCCUCAAGAAUAUCAACGGAAAGUUUGUCUUUAAUUUUCAAAAGACUUCAUGGUGAGGCGAAGGUGAAAAUAAAUAGAUUGAUCAAUGAGUUAUGUAAGAAUUUGCAAAACUGAGCAUUAAAAACAUUCAUCAAUGAGUGUUACCCACGUUUUUUGUUAAAAAAAACAUUUUUUUUUAAUUUUCGUGAAACAUUUUCAAUGAACAUUAAAGAAAAGUUUAUAAGGCAUUUAGAAGCGGUUUUAUGAUUUGUUGAACAACAAAUGUAUAUUUAGUACAAUAUUUAAGCCGAAAACUAAAAAAUUAAGUGAAAAUUAUACUAGUGAGGCACAAAACAUUGUUAAAAUGGGGUUACACCCUCUAGAAUAUCAACGGAAAGCCUUACUUGAUUUUCAAAAUUUCACGGUGAGGCAAAGGUGAAAAUAAAUAGAUUGAAUGAUGUUUUAUGUACGAAGUGGAAAAACUACUAAAAAUCGUGAGUGUUAACCCACAUUUUUUCUCAAAAAUGCAAAAAAAUAAAAAAUUUGCGAAAUAUUUUUCGUGAGCAUUAAGGAAAACUUUUUAAGUCAUUGGAAGUGGUUUUAUGAUUUAAUGAGAAAAAAAAAUGUAUAUUUAGUAGAAUAUUUAAGCUGAAAACUAAAAAAAAAUAAGUGAAAAAAUAGAAUAGUGAGGCCCAAACUAUAACAUCUCACAUCGCCCAGAGGAGUGAUCCUUAAAUGUAUAUUCCUAUCCCUACCUAGCACGAGGCCUUUUGGGAGCUCACUGGCUUCGGCUUUCGUAGGAACUCUGAAGUUAAGCGAGAAGGAAGCCAGAGCACUCUCAGGAUGGGUGACCCACUGGGAAGUUGCUCGUGAGUUCCCAAAAAUAAAAUCGUGAGGGAAUGGUAAGCCCAAAGAGGACAAUAUCGUGUUACGGUGGUGGAAUGGACCCGGAAUGUGGUGGACCCAGCUGGGAUGUGACAAAUGGUAUCAGAGCCAAUCCCUGGUUGGAAGUGUGCCGACGAGGACGUCGGGCCCCUAAGGGGGGUGGAUUGUAACAUCCCACAUCGCCCAGAGAGUGAUCCUUAAAUAUAUAUUCUCAUCUCUACCUAGCAGGAGGUAAGCCCAAAACGGACAAUAUCGUGCUACGGUGGUGGAACGGGCCUGGAAUGUGGUGGACCCGGCUGGGAUGUGACAAAUGGUAUCAGAGCCAAUCCCUGGUUGGAAGUGUGCCGACGAGGACGUCGGGCCCCUAAGGGGGGGUAGAUUGUAAUAUCCCACAUCGCCCAAAGAGUGAUCCUUAAAUGUAUAUUCUCAUCUCUACCUAGCACGAGACCUUUUGGGAGCUCACUAGCUUCGAGUUCCGUAGGAACUCUGAAGUAAAGCGCGAAGGAGGCCACUGGCUUCGGGUUUCGUAGGAACUCCGAAGUAAAGCGAGAAUGAGGCCAGAGCACUUCCAAGAUGGGUGACCCACUGGGAAGUUGCUCAUGAGUUCUCAAAAACAAAACCGUGAGAGAAUGGUAAGCCCAAAGCGGACAAUAUCGUGUUACGGUGGUGGAACAGGCCCGGGAUGUAACACAAACCAUUGUUAAAAUAGGGUUCCAUCCUCAAGAAUAUCAAUAAAAGGUCUUACAUGAAUUUUCUAAACCUCACGGUUCAAAGAAGGUGAAAGAAAAUAGAUUUAAUGAGAACUUUUGUACAAAUUUGGAAAACAACAACAAAUUGGUAAUGGUUAGCCCAUGUUUUUUUGACAAAAAUGAAAUUUUUUUAUUUUUGCGAAAUAUUUUUUGUCAUGAUUAAAAAAAUUUAUAAGGCAGUUGAGAGAGGUUUUACCCAUGGUCCGAAAUGCAGAUAAUAUCGGCGAUAUAUCGCCGAUAUUAUCGGUUUUGAGGAGUACCGAUUUUUUUUUCUAUAUCCAACUGGUUUUCGGGAUAAUAUCGCGAUGUUAUCGAUAUUAUCGAUAAUAUCGCGAUAUUAUCGAAUUUAUCGAUAAUAUCGGUGGCUGACUUCUCGGAGAAGAACGCCGGAGCUGUAGAAGCUCCGGCCGACUGUAAAACAGGACCCUAGACUCCGAUCUAGGUAUGAAAAUGAAAAACAAGACGAGAUGAACAUUUGUAUAUAUUCUUACUUUUUGGUUUUAGAUUCUAGCAAUACUUGCAAAAAAUUUAUGUGGCCCUUUGAUGUGGUUGGGUCAUCUCAUCUGAGAUGCCUGACUAAUUUUACAAUAUGUCCAUAACUUUUUGCAGUUUCAGACCAUGGACAUCAAAUAAUACUGCUUUUAUAAUGAAACCGUGUCCGUGUGCGUGAGUCCGUGAUAUUCUUUCACAUGCAGAACAGUGUGUCAUUGUCUAUUAUAUUCUUUCACGCGGCACGCCUUAUCAGAGGUGGAGUGAUAGUAUCAGAGGCAUUCAGCAUUUUCGUUUCUUCUUCUUCCCUUACCAUUUUCAAAGCUAUUCCAGAUCCAUUCCAAAGCUUGAAAACAAACGGUUCCAUAUUUAAGGUAAGUUUACAAACUUAAAUUUAUAUUAUUGUAAUUUAUACAACAACAAAUAAAUUUGUAUGGACUCGUAUGUUAAUUUUUUUAAGUAAUUAAUACUUGCAUGUUAAUUUUUGUAAGUAAUUAAGUAAUGUUAACAAUUACAUGUUAAUUUUUUUAAGUAAUUAAGUAAUGUUGUAUAAUUAUUCCCUAGGAUAAUUUUAAUAUGUUUAAUGUUAUUUAUUAUUUUAUUUCCCUUACCAUUUUCAAAGCUAUUCCAAAUCCAUUCCAAAGCUUGAACACAAACGGUUCCAUAUUUAAGGUAAGUUUACAAACUUAAAUUUAUAUUAUUGUAAUUUAUACAACAACAAAUAAAUUUGUGUGGACUCGUAUGUUAAUUUUUUUAAGUAAUUAAUACUUGCAUGUUAAUUUUUUUAAGUAAUUAAGUAAUGUUAACAAUUACAUGUUAAUUUUUUUUAAGUAAUUAAGUAAUGUUGUAUAAUUAUUCCCUAGGAUAAUUUUAAUAUGUUUAAUGUUAUUUAUUAUUUUAUUAAUAUUAGGUUUUAUUAUCAAAUUGGAUUAUUAUUCAUUAAUAAUAGGUUUUUUUUAUUAUCAAAUUGAAUUAUUAUUCAUUAAUAUUAGGUUUUAUUAUCAAAUUUGAUUAUUCUUCAUUAAAUUGGAUUAUUCAUUAAAUUGGAUUAUUAUCAAAUUGUAUUAUUAUUCAUCACCAUGUUUUAUAUUAGGAUUAUUUUUUUAUCAAAUUGGAUUAUUAUUCAUUAAUAUUAGGUUUUUUUUAAUUAUCAAAUUGGAUUAUUAUUCAUUAAUAUUAGGUUUUAUUAUCAAAUUUGAUUAUUCUUCAUUAAAUUGGAUUAUUAUCAAAUUGGAUUAUUAUUCAUCACCAUGUUUUAUAUUAGGAUUAUUUUUUUAUCAAAUUGGAUUAUUAUUCAUUAAUAUUAGGUUUUUUUAAUUAUCAAAUUGGAUUAUUAUUCAUUAAUAUUGGGUUUUAUUAUCAAAUUGGAUUAUUCUUCAUUAAAUUGGAUUAUUCAUUAAAUUGGAUUAUUAUCAAAUUGGAUUAUUAUUCAGUAAUAUUAGGUUUUAUUAUUCCAUAUUAUUUGUAUAAUUACUUAAAUUUUUACAAUCAUUUUCAUUACUUCAUAUUUAAUUCUUCUGUAGAAUAACUUUAUUAUUUAGGUUCUCUUAUUUUAUCAAAAAAUAAUUGUCUAAUUUUCAUGAAAAAUAAAUAUAGGUACAUUUAAGAUGUCAAGUGGAGUUACUAAACGUGAUCCAGCUUGGAAACAUGGAGACCCAAUAGACGGAAACAAACAUGGCACAAUUUGCAAAUAUUGUGGUCGGGUAAUGAAGAGUGGCGGAGUGACACGACUAAAGUACCAUCUUAGUGGAUUAGAUCCAGCAAAAAAUGUCCAACGAUGCGAUAAUGUCCCCCCAGAAGUGAAGGCAUUCAUCAGCAUAUUAUUAAAAAAUAAAAAACAGCAGAAGGAAAAGAUAACACAUGGAAUGGAAAAUAUUCGAGCUGGGCUACGAGGAGAAGUCAUUGGGCAAGCGGUUGACAGUGAUGAUGAUGACGAUGAGGACGAAUGUGAUGAUGACAUGGGACCUGAAGAACGACGCAGUUUGAAACAAGCAUUACGUGCCUCCAAACAGUCAGCAUGGGAAAGAGAACACCUUCAUAAAAUUCCUAAUAGGGGACAAGGUUCCGGGACAAGUGGUGGUGCACAAAUGAGACGGGGAGGCAGUCUUAGAGAAUCACAACCAACACCACCAAUAGCCCCAAGUUUAUAUAAGUCAUCCAACGCACGUCAAAAGAGUGUUUGGAGUUAUUUCAAGGGAGGUAAUGUGAAGGAGGGAAUGGGGCGUCUAAUUAGCAAGUUCUUUAUCUAUGAAAAUGUCCCUGCUGAGAAAGCAUCAUCACAUCAUUUCAAAAAUAUGGUAGUGGGAUGUCAACAGGCCGGUGUUGGAGUACAACCUCCCACUCCUUAUGAGAUAAGAAACAAAUAUUUGGAUAUGGAGUAUAAAGACAUUGGCGAGUAUGUUAACAAGUUGAGGUCAAAGUGGGAAACUAAUGGUUGCACAAUCAUGUGUGACGGAUAGACUGGGCCGACCAGAUUGUCUAUCAUAAACUUCAUGGUAUACUCCAAGGGAAAGACAAUUUUUUUGAAGUCUGUUGAUGCUUCAGACCAUAUAAAGAACUACAAGUAUAUUUACAAAUUAUUGAAGGAUGUAAUCAUGGAGGUGGGAGAGCAUAAUGUUGCCCAAGUCGUGACCGACAACGGUUCUGCAUUUGUCAAAGCUGGAAAAAAGUUAAUGAAGCAUCAUAAUGUGUUUUGGACAUCAUGUGCAGCACAUUGUAUUAAUCUCAUGUUUGAGGCAAUGGGGAAGAAAGAGAAUGUUGCUACUGUGGUCAAAAGAGCUAGAACAAUCACAAAUUAUAUUUACAAUCACGGUUGGUUAUUGGCAGAUGCGUGAAUUUUGCAAAGGAGAAAUCAUUCGUCCAGCUACCACUCGAUUUGCCACCAACUAUAUUGCAUUAGACAGCCUACUGAAGAAGAAAGCAGGGUUGAAGCAACUAUUCACUAGUGACGAUUGGGCCAACCACAAUUUCAGCCGCUCAAAUACAGGUCGUAUGGUGGAAAGUAUAGUGCUUGAUCAUGCUUUCUGGACUCAAUCAGAACAUGUGUGCCAACUGUUUGAACCUCUUUACAAAGUUUUACGGAUCGUUGACACAGAAGUGUAUCCUACUAUGGGGGCAGUAUAUGAGUUGAUGCGUGUAGUGAAGGAUGAAUUGGAAAGAAAACAUGGUGCAAGGUGGGUCAUAAAGAUAAUUGAAGAUCGAUGGUAUAAAACAUUAUACCACGAUUUGAAUGCAGCAGGUAUAAAUUAUGUCAUAAUUUGCAAUUCAUUUCUUUAGUUGCAUAAGUUUUAUUUCUCUUAUUAGAGUAUGUGUUUCUUUGAACAGCAUAUUAUUUGAAUCCUCGAUACCAAUACAGACCCGGUGUUGGAGAUGAUGGUACCCUUAUACGUGCUGUACAUAAUGUAUACUUUAAAUUAAAACCUGCAUCACCAAUAGUUGGCCAAUUUGGAAAUGAGGUACACAAUUACUUAAAUUAUAAUAAUUACUUAAAUUAUAAUAUUAAUAAUUACUUUGUUGGAUUAAACUAACACGAUUUAUUGAAUUCAGCUAACAUGGUUUAAAAGAUGCAAGAAGAACUUUUGGAGAACCAACAUCAAUUGCUGCUCGAACAACAAUGUCUCCUAGUGAGUGUAAACAUAUUUCACUAUAAGUUUAUAAUAGAAUUUGUUCGAGUUAUUAGGCUUAUCAACAUUGUUUUUCAUUGUAGCUGAAUGGUGGAUCAUGUAUGGGACCGAUGCACCAACUGUGAGAAAGUUAGCAAUCAAAGUAUUAUCACAAACAGCUUCCUCAUCUGCUUGUGAAAGAAAUUGGAGCACAUUUGCACUGAUACACACAAAGCAAAGAAAUAGGUUGGCGCAUAGUAGGUUGGAAAAAUUAGUUUAUUGCUACUACAACAUGAAGCUUCAAAUUCGAGAUAAGGAAGCAGAAAUAUAUCAUGUCGACCGUGGUGACCCACUAGAUGUGUUUGAUAUUGUUGGUGAAGAUGAUGAUAUGGAGGGUAACCAACUUUUUCAAUGGAUUAGACCUCUUCAUUUAGAUGAUGAUGAAGGCAACCCAGCUCCCAGAGUUGCUGAAGAAGCACGUAAUAAAGGGAUAAAUGUAGAAAGAGUAUUAGAGGAGGAGGUGGGAUCUAGCAGCGCUGACUCUUUGGAUGAACUUUUCCGCCCAAGACCAAGAAACACUGGAAUUCCACCUUCUUCCAAUCCUACACAACCACAACAUCGUGCUGAUACUAAUGAUAGCUCUAGUACAAGAUCAGGAGACUCACCUACCACCGGAGGUGGGAAUGAUGAAGGACAUAGUGGAGCUGGAGGUAGUGAAGCUGGAGGUAGUGGUGGUGGAUAUGGAAACUAUUAUGGACCACCACCUCCCGGAUAUAUGAGCCCCUUCACUGGUGAGGCAAACUUCACGCAUGCAACACAGGAUGAUGACCAUGGCAGUAGGCGGGCAGGACCAGGAAUUGGGUGCCAUAGGAAGGACUAUACUCGCAGAGAAAGAGGCAAGGGGAUUUUGUCAAGUCAAAAAGAUGACUCGUUAUCUAGAACUUCAGACUCUGUUGGAUUGGGAAGUAGUAACUAUGGUUAUACUCAUAACCAACCAUUUCCCUACCCUUCAUAUCCCAUUCCUGUUGGGAUGGAAUCGAGCGACUCAUGGAAACAAUUACAGCCUCAAUCUUCAAAUGAUUUUUCUUAUAGACAACCUCAACCAAUCUCGGAUCCAUAUGGGUGGCAUGUUUAACAAUUACAUGCAAAAACUAUUUUGGGGAUUUAUCAUUUGAUAACUACUCUUCACAAUACACUCAUUCUACACAUAGAGAUGAUGAAGAUAGUGAAAAAUUUGAACCUCAUAGGAACUCUAUGUGGUACUAAAGUGUAAAAUAUUGUACUAAUUCAUUAUAUAUAAAUGAUUAUGGUGUGUUUAGACUUCUUUCAUUAAUUACUACAUAUUUUCUACACUCAGAAUGUUUGUCAGAUCGCUAUAUAAUCAACUUGAUAAUGUUAAAUCAUCAUGCAAUGCAUUUCCUUCCAAUUUUUUGUGAUAAACUAAUAGAUAAUUGACUAAAUAAACAUCCUGCAAAGUUUCAAUAAAAAUUUCCAAGUUUUUCUUACAAUUUCCGUGGUUUCCAUGUAAUUUUUAUCGAUAUCGAUAUUAUCCCGAUAUUUCCAUCGAUAUUUCCGUGUUUUCGGAUUACCGAUAUUUCCGAUAUUACCGAUAUUUAAUACCUUGGUUUUACCAUUUAUUGAGCGACAAAUAUGCUUUAAAUAGAAUAUUGAAGCCGAAAACCAAAAAAAAAAAACUGAAAAAACGGUGAUGGGAUUCAAAACAUUGCUGAAACGAUACAUCAUCCUCAAGAUUAUGAACGAAAAGUGCUGAAUGAAUUUUCAAGACCUCACUGUGCAUUGAAGGUGAAAGCUUAUAUAGACCUUAUGAUGAUUUUUGUAUUGUUUUGCAAAACCGCCUAAAAACCGUGAUGGUUAGUCCAAGUUUUUUUGACAAAAAUUCAAAUUUUUGUAUUUUGCCAAAUAUUAUCCCUCAUAAUUAAAAAAACAAAAUCUUUAUAAGACAUUUGGAACCGGUGUUACUAUUUAUACGAGCCACAAAUGAAUUUUAAAUAGAAUAUAUUUACGCCGAAAACCGAAAAAUAAAUGGAAAAAGAAGUAGUGGGACCCAAAACAUUGCCGCAACAAGACUUCUUCCUUGAGAUUAUUAACGAAAAGUCUUAGAUGAAUUUUCAAGACCUCAUGGUGCAUUGAAAGUGAAAGCAUAUAGACUUUAUGACGAUUUAUUUUGCAAAACGACCAAAAAACCGUGGUGGUUAGCACUUGUUUUUUUUUUGUUGAGAAAAAUGCAAUUUGUUUUUGUGAAAUUUUUUUGUCAUGAUUAAGAAAAGCUUUAUAAGGAAUUUGGAAGCGGUUUUACUAUUUAUUAACCUACAAAUAAAUUUUAAAAGAGUUUUUAAGUUGAAAACUGAAAAAUAAUGGAAAAAAAAUAGUAGUGGGGUGAAAACUUUGCCAAAAUAGAAUUUCCAAACUCAGGAAUAUUAACGAAAGGUCCUACAUGAAUUUUCUAAACCUUACGGUGCAGUGAAGGUGAAAGAAAAUAGAUUUUAUAACAGCUUUUGUAAAAAUUUGCAAAAUCGCCUAAAAACCACGAUGGUUAGACCCCUUUUUGAGAAAAAAAAUGCAAUUUUUUAAUUUUGCGAUAUAUUUGCGUCAUGAUUAAGAAAAACUUUAUUGAGCCACAAAUAUUUCUAAUAUAAUAUUUAAACCGAAAACUGAAAAAAUAAAUGGAAAAAAAAAAACAGUGCGCACUCCAAAACAUUGCUGAAACAAGACUUCAUCCUUAAGAUUAUGAAUGAAAAGUGUUAGAUGAUUUUCAAGACCUCACGGUCUAUUAAGGUGAAAACAUAUGGACUUUAUGACGAUUUUUGUAAUAUUUUGCAAAAAACCGCCUAAAAAUCAUGAUGGUUAGUACACGGUUUUGGAGACCAAUUAAAAAAAAAUUUACCAAAUUUUUGCCGUCAUGAUUAAGAAAGACUUAAUAAAAACUUUGGAAGCGAUUUUUCCAUUUAUUGAGCUACAAAUGAAAUUUUAAAAGAAUUUUUAAGCCACAAACUGAAAAAUAAAUGGAAAAAAAAGUUGUGGGGCGAAAACAUUGCCGAAAUGAAAUUCCAAACUCAAAAAUAUCAAAGAAGGGUCUUACAUGAAUUUUCUAAACAUCACGAUGCGGUGAAGGUGAAGGCAAAUAGAUUUUAUGACAACUUUGUACAAAUUUGCAAAAUCGCCUAAAAACAGUGACAGCCCCAUGUUUUUUUUGAAAAAAAUGCAAACUUUUAUUUUUAAGAAAUAUUUUUCUCUAUUAUUAAAAAAAACUUUAUAAGGCAAUUGAAAGAUGUUUUACCAAUUAUUGAGCCGCAAAUAUAUUUUAAUAAAAUAUUUAAUCCGAAAAAUGGAAAAAUUAAUUGAAAAGAAUAGUAGUGGGGCAUAAACAUUGUGAAAACGCAAUUCCAAACUCAAAUAAUAUCAAUGGAAAGUCUUAUAUGAAUUUUCUAAACCUCACGAUGCGGUGAAGGUGAAAGCCAAAAGAUUUUAUAACUUUUAUAUAAAUUUGCAUAAUUGCCUUAAAACCGUGUAGGUUAGCAGUGAUAGCCCGUCCUGAAAUAUAUUGUCGAUGGUGUGAAAUGUCCAUUUUACCCUUGAGCGUUAUGUGGUGUUGUGUGGUUUAAGUUUUGGAUGUGGACAAAAUAUGUUAAGUUCUAAUUGUUUGGACCCAAUUAGAACUAAGCUUUUCUUUGUUUUUGGUUGGUAGCCCAAGCUGGACCACACACACACACAAACCCGUUGACUUCUCUCUCUCUCGGAUUUUUUUUCCAUUUCCGUACAAUUGUACGGACAAGCUUUCAACCAACUUCAUCACUCACGGAUCGAAGUUGUGGAAGUCGUAUUUGUGCUCCUUUCAACCUCAGGAGUCGAGUAGUGAUUUUGGUUGGACGUGAGGCCCUCAAAAACCUAAGAACCAAAAACCCCCGAAGAGGUGCACAGUGACUCGACGUGAUCGCGAAGGUUUCAGGUAGAUUUGAGACUUAAGAAGGUAUUAUUCUUGCUUUCCUAGCACGCUGGAUCAAUUUUGGAGUGGUUUUGACGUUAUAACUCUCGGGUUUAGUGAGUUGCAGGGGUGGCCGGAUUAUCGAGAUUUUUUCGGCGAGAUUACGUUGGAUUUUGGACGUAAAAUUGGUAAGGAUAUGUUCCUCUAGUCCUAAGCUUCAAUUUGGUAUAAAUUUCGUGAAUUUUGGUUGAGAAAUGAAGAAGAUAUUGAAGUUUAAAGUUUUUCCCAGUUUCCGACGACGGCGACGGAAUCCGAUGACUCACCGGAGAAAAAGACGAAUAUUCUGUCAAUUUUGACGGAAUAUUCCUAACGGCGACUAACGGCGUCAAGUAUCUUUAAUGGCAUAUUCUAUAUUUUUAAACGGCGUUAAGGAAUUCGUCAGUGUGCCAGGCACGUGCUUGCGUGUGGGCCUAGCGUCUGGCCAUGCCUUGGCCGGCGCGUGAGGGCGCGUGCGUGCUUAGAAAAUUUUUCUAAAAAUAUGGGGAUGUUCCCGAGGUUGUGUAGGUCUCAAUGGUAUAUUCAAAUACCCCAAUUGAGCAAUGUAUGAGAAGUUAUUACCUAGUUUUGUGUAUGUGCUUUAAAAUAACGUUUAUAUAGUUGUUUCGCAUAUAGGUGAGACCUAUCCUGAGGACGAGCGCAAUCAAUUGAGACUCGGGGGCUACGACCCUUCCACAUAUCAGUGAGUGGCCUUUUAGUUUUCAGUAUAUACUUAUAUACUUGGUAUUUUUCCCAGAAAAUCUAUUUAAAUGAAAUUAUGUUUUGAAAUGUCAUGCCUAUUGAUUUAUGCUUAGACUAUGAAUUAGUAUAGAAAUUGCAUAUAUCUAUGUUCAACGCUGUGGACGCUCAGGUAAGUACCAAGUGAGUUGUAGAUUGUUUAUAUGAUGGAUGAUUAUGUGAGAUGUGUUGAGAGCUCAUAAACCUGCACCCCGGCGUUCGUGCUCCCGCCCGUGGUUAGGGCACAGCCCUUCACGUGAUGUUCACCUCCCGCACCACACGCUUACCUUAGAUCCAAGUUAGGUGCACAGUCCUGUCAUACAGACCAUUUUAGGUGGUUCUGACUCGUAGGUGACCUACGAUUAUUCGAACAAUCUUCACAUGAUCGUAGCACUAGAGCUUAUUUAUUUACACCUAGUCUUGUCGUACAGACCACUAUAGGUGAUUCCGACUUGUGUGCUGGCAUACUUGUUGAGCUAUAGAUUCAGCCGUACAUGCCACUUUAGGUGGAUCCGGCUGAUAUGUUAUUUCUCAUGAGUUAUUUUACCUAAGUUACUUAUUAUGUUAUUUUGAGAUAUUUGGCACGACAUAUUUAUGAAUAUCAUUUUCUGAGCAUGGUUUUGAGAUAUGUAUAUAUAUUCUAUUUUCUGGGAAAUUAUAAAGGUUUUACGGCGAAGGGUUAGAACUUUCGAGAAAUGAAAUGGUUUUGAAAAGCUUUGUUUUUGCCCACUCACACUUUAUGUUUUGCGUCCCUCCAGCUUUUAGGUAGGAGUGCUUAUUGGUGGCUCUCGAGGAACUCACGGCAUAUCUGACAGAUUAUCACCAAUGUAGGAUCAUCUUUGGGGAUUGUAUAAUUAGUAUUCGUUAUGCUGGACUGCACUUAGGCUACUUAUGCUCUGGUUGUGCAAUCACACUUAAUAUCGCACUUGCACCUUAUCUUAUUUAGUGCUCUAGUUGGUUUUGUUUUUUUUAUUUGCAUUUCCUUAUAUUAAUAUUUCUUCCGCAUUGUGCAUAUGACUACGUUACCCUCAUGUGACGACCAGCAUGCCUCGAUCUAGGUCGGGGUGUGUCAUUAGCCCAUAUUUUUCAAAAAAAAAACAUUUUUGCGAAAUAAUAUUCGUCAUGAUAAGAAAAAAAAUUAAUAAGGAAUUUGGACGGUUUUACUAUUUAAUGAGCCACAAAAAAAAUUUUGAUAGAAUAUUUAAGCCGACAACUGAAAAAUAAAUUGAAAAGAAAAGUAGUGGGGUGAAACAUUGUCGAAACGCAAUUCCAAACUCAAGAAGUUCACCAUUCCAAACUCAAGAAUAUCAACAUAAAGUCUUACAUUAAUUUUUGUAAAACUCACGGCAUUGUGAAGGUGAAAGCAAAUAGAUUUUAUGACAUUUUUUUUACAAAUUUGCUAAACUGUCUAAAAACAGUGAUAACGACCACAUUUUUUUAGAACAAUACAAAUUUUUUAUUUUUGCGAAAUAUUUUUUGUCAUGAUUAAGGAAAACUUUAUAAGGCAGUUGAAAGGUGUUUUAAUAUUUAUUGAGCCACAAAUAUAUUUUCAAUAGAAUAUUUAAAUUGAAGACUGAAAUUCAAAAAUGCCAAAACACUGCCAAAAAGAAAUUCAAAACUCAAGAAUAUCAACGGAAGGUCUUACAUGAUUUUUUUAAACUUCAUAGUGCGUGAAGGUGAAAGCAAAUAGAUUUUAUUACAACUUUUGUGCAAAUUUGCAAAACCAUCUAAAAACCGUGAUGGUUAGCCACCAUUUUUUAAGAAAAAUACAAAUUUAGGCCCAUUAUGCAUACUAUCCUCAGUUUGUACAUAUUAUUCAUUGCUUAAUGAAUAUCGUACUUUUCUUGAAAAAAAAAAUGCAAAUUCUUGAGGGUGGAACCCCAUUUUAACAAUAUUUUGAGCCUUAAUAGUAUAUUUUUCACUUAUUUUUUUAGUUUUCGGUUUCAAAUAUUGUACUAAAUAUACAUUUGUUACUCAAUAAAUCAUAAAACCGCUUCCAAAUGCCUUAUAAAUUUUUUCUUAAUGCACACAAAAAAUAUUUCUAGAGAACAAAAAUUUGCAUUUUUCACAAAAAACGUGGACAGUUUUUAGUUGGUUUUGCAAAUUCGUACAUAAAUCAUCGUUCAAACUGUUUAUUUUCACCUUCACUACACCGUGAAGUUUUGAAAAUUAAGAUAAGACUUUCCUUGAGAUUCUUGAGGGUAAAACUCCAUUUGACAAUGUUUUGAACCUCACUGGUAUAUUUUUCACUUAUUUUUUUAGUUUUCAACUUAAAUAUUCUAUUAAAUAUACAUUUAUUGCUCAAUAAAUCAUACAUCCGCUUCGAAAUGCCUUAUAAAGUUUUCCUGAAUGCUUAGGGACAAUAUUUCCCAAAAAAAAAAAUUUGCAUUUUUGGCAAAAAAACGUGGGUUAACACUCACGAUUUUUAGUCGGUUUUACAAAUUCGUAUGUAAAUCAUCAUUCAAUCUAUUUAUUUUCUCCAUCGCCUCACCUCGAAGUUUUGAAAAUUAAGGUAAGACUUUCCAUUGAUAUUCGUGUGGGUGGAACCCCAUUUUAACAAUGUUUGGGCGUCACUUGUAUAUUUUUCACUUAUUUUUUUAGUUUUCGGCUUAAAAUAUUGUACUAAAUAUGCAUUUGUUGCUCAAUAAAUCAUAAAACUACUUCCACAUGCCUUAUAAAGUUCUCCUUAAUGCUCACGGAAAAUAUUUCGUGAAAAUAAAAAAUUUGCAUUUUGACAAAAACUGUGGGUUAACACUCAUGGUUUUUAGUCGAAUUUUGCAAAUUCUUGCAUAAAUCAUCGUUCGAUCUAUUUACUUUAACCUUAGCCUCACCGUAAAAUUUUGAAAAUUAAGGUAAAACUUUCCUUUGAAAUUCUUGUGGGUGGAACCCCAUUAUAACAAUUUGGGCCUCACUUGUAUAUUUUUCACUUUUUUUUUAGUUUUCGGCUUAAAUAUUCUACUAAAUAUACAUUUGUUGCUCAAUAAAUCAAAAAUUCAUUUCCAAAUGCCUUAUAAGGUUUUCCUUAAUGGUCACGGAAAUAUUUCAUGAAAAUAAAAAUCUGCAUAUUUGACAAAAAACGUGGGUUAAUCUCACGGUUUUUAGUCAGAUUUGCAAAUUCGUACAUAAAUCACCGUUCAAUCUAUUUAUUUUCACAAUCGCUGCACUGUGAAGUUUUGAAAAUUAAGGUAAGACUUUCUAUUGAUAUUCUUGAGGGUGGAACUGCAUUUGACAAUGUUUUCGGCCAUACUGGUAUAUUUUUCACUUAUUUUUUUAGUUUUCGACUUAAAUAUUCUACUAAAAAAAUAUUUGUUGCUCAUUAGAUUGUAAUCCGCUUCCAAAUACCUUAUAAAGUUUUUCUUAAUUCUCACGGAAAAUAUUUCGCGAAAAUAAAAAAUCUGCAUUUCUAACAAAAAAACAUAGGUUUACACUAAUGGUUUUUAGUUUGUUUUGCAAAUUCAUACAUAAAUCAUCGUUCAAUCUAUUUAUUUUCACCUUCACCUCACCAUGACAUUUUGAAAAUUAAGGUAGAAACUUUCUAGUUAUAUUCUUGAGGGUGGAACCCCAUUUGACAAUGUUUUGGGCCUCACUGGUAUAUUUUUCACUUAUUUUUUUAGUUUUUAGCUUAAAUAUUUUACUAAAUAUACAUUUGUUGUUCAAUAAAUCAUAAAUCCACUUCCUUAUAAUGUUUUCCUUAAUGCUCACGGGUUUACGAAUAAAAAAUUUGCAUUUUUUGACAAAACAACGUAUACCUACUGCGUUUAGGCAGUUUUGCAAAAUGGUACAAAAAUCGUCUAGUCUAUAUGUUUUCACCUCCAACAUGCCGUGACAAUUUGAGAGUUAAUGUUGGACAUUUUGUUUAUAUUCUUGUGGAUGGAGUUCUUUUUCUGUAAUGUUUUGGUGCCAACAAACUAUUUCUUUUACAUUUAUUUUUCAACUUUUGGCUUAAAUAUUAUAUUAAAUUUUAUUUGUGGCUCAAUAAAUGGUAACACCCUUCCAAAUGCCUUAGAAAGAUUUUUUAAAUUAUGAGGGAAAAUAUAUGGCAAAAAUUAAAAAAAUUUGAAUUUUUCUCAAAAAAUGUGGACGUUAUCACAAUUUUUGGGCGGUUUUGCAAAAUAGUAUAAAAAUAAUCGGCAUGGAGUCUAUAUGCGUUCACCUUCAAUGCAUUGUGACGAUUUGAGAAUCAAUGUUAGACUUUUUGUUUCUUGUGGAUGGAGUUCUUUUUUGGCAAUGUUUUAGGUAGACCGGCAGUUUUGACACGACACGAAAAUAACAGGUUUCGGGUCAACACGAUAACUUAUUGGAUCAUUAUCAGGUGACCUGUUAAGAACCCGUUAAUAACGGGUAUACACGCGGGUAACAUGAGGAUAACCCGUUUCGACCCGUUAAGAAAAAAAAAUAUUUUGAUAAUUUUAAAGUUUAAUUACUAAAAGAUUUAUUAUAAAAUACAAUAGCCAUAUUAAUAUAUACAAUAUAUUCUAUAUUAAAUAUAUUUUUUUCUAUUAUUAUUCUAUAUAAGUUAAAAAAAAAAGUUUUAGUCAUUAUUUAUUUUUAUUAUGAGAGUUCCUUAUUAUCAUUACUAGGAUAAAUUUUCCUUAACAUGUUGUCCAAAAUUAAAAUAAACUAAUAUAGUAUUUGUAUAGGCAAGAACUAAGAAGACUUCCCUCCCAGUCAGUUUGUACAUCAAGGGAGGCUGCAAGGUUGUAAGCAGUUUUAACAGAGAAGGUUCCAUUAGUCGAACCCUGCCAGAUGUAUCUAUCAUCAUCAGAAUCAAUAAGUCCAGCAGGGAUCCCAAUAAUCUCUUCCACAAUAUCAUUAGGUAGCAC
This 20570-nucleotide long non-coding RNA is filed under the name Malus domestica (apple). RNAcentral describes it as "long non-coding RNA (MDOM_LNC002275)". Lineage: Eukaryota; Viridiplantae; Streptophyta; Magnoliopsida; Rosales; Rosaceae. The record is from RNAcentral.